This 497-nucleotide ribosomal RNA is filed under the name uncultured bacterium. Its description in RNAcentral is "partial 16S ribosomal RNA". It matches the Rfam family "Bacterial small subunit ribosomal RNA", at positions 28 to 507 of the family's 1533-position model. The record is from RNAcentral.
GAUGAACGCUGGCGGCGUGCCUAAUACAUGCAAGUCGAGCGAACAGACGAGGAGCUUGCUCCUCUGACGUUAGCGGCGGACGGGUGAGUAACACGUGGAUAACCUACCUAUAAGACUGGGAUAACUUCGGGAAACCGGAGCUAAUACCGGAUAAUAUAUUGAACCGCAUGGUUCAAUAGUGAAAGACGGUUUUGCUGUCACUUAUAGAUGGAUCCGCGCCGCAUUAGCUAGUUGGUAAGGUAACGGCUUACCAAGGCAACGAUGCGUAGCCGACCUGAGAGGGUGAUCGGCCACACUGGAACUGAGACACGGUCCAGACUCCUACGGGAGGCAGCAGUAGGGAAUAUUCCGCAAUGGGCGAAAGCCUGACGGAGCAACGCCGCGUGAGUGAUGAAGGUCUUCGGAUCGUAAAACUCUGUUAUUAGGGAAGAACAAAUGUGUAAGUAACUAUGCACGUCUUGACGGUACCUAAACAGAAAGCCACGGCUAACUACGUG